RNAcentral lists this ribosomal RNA (275 nucleotides) under uncultured Faecalibacterium sp. RNAcentral's name for it is "partial 16S ribosomal RNA". It matches the Rfam family "Bacterial small subunit ribosomal RNA", at positions 65 to 339 of the family's 1533-position model. The record is from RNAcentral. Lineage: Bacteria; Bacillati; Bacillota; Clostridia; Eubacteriales; Oscillospiraceae.
AGCGAGAGAGAGCUUGCUUUCUCGAGCGAGUGGCGAACGGGUGAGUAACGCGUGAGGAACCUGCCUCAAAGAGGGGGACAACAGUUGGAAACGACUGCUAAUACCGCAUAAGCCCACGACCCGGCAUCGGGUUGAGGGAAAAGGAGCAAUCCGCUUUGAGAUGGCCUCGCGUCCGAUUAGCUAGUUGGUGAGGUAACGGCCCACCAAGGCGACGAUCGGUAGCCGGACUGAGAGGUUGAACGGCCACAUUGGGACUGAGACACGGCCCAGACUCC